AGUGAACGCUGGCGGUAGGCCUAACACAUGCAAGUCGAACGGCAGCACAGUAAGAGCUUGCUCUUACGGGUGGCGAGUGGCGGACGGGUGAGGAAUACAUCGGAAUCUACUUUUUCGUGGGGGAUAACGUAGGGAAACUUACGCUAAUACCGCAUACGACCUACGGGUGAAAGCAGGGGAUCUUCGGACCUUGCGCGAUUGAAUGAGCCGAUGUCGGAUUAGCUAGUUGGCGGGGUAAAGGCUCACCAAGGCGACGAUCCGUAGCUGGUCUGAGAGGAUGAUCAGCCACACUGGAACUGAGACACGGUCCAGACUCCUACGGGAGGCAGCAGUGGGGAAUAUUGGACAAUGGGCGCAAGCCUGAUCCAGCCAUACCGCGUGGGUGAAGAAGGCCUUCGGGUUGUAAAGCCCUUUUGCUGGGAAAGAAAAGCAGCAGGUUAAUACCCCGCUGUUCUGACGGUACCCAAAGAAUAAGCACCGGCUAACUUCGUG
This 492-nucleotide ribosomal RNA is filed under the name uncultured bacterium. Its description in RNAcentral is "partial 16S ribosomal RNA". It matches the Rfam family "Bacterial small subunit ribosomal RNA", at positions 29 to 507 of the family's 1533-position model. The record is from RNAcentral.